Molecule: small nuclear RNA, 117 nt
Filed under: Postia placenta Mad-698-R
Lineage: Eukaryota; Fungi; Basidiomycota; Agaricomycetes; Polyporales; Adustoporiaceae
Description: U5 spliceosomal RNA
Rfam family: U5 spliceosomal RNA
About the family: U5 RNA is a component of both types of known spliceosome. The precise function of this molecule is unknown, though it is known that the 5' loop is required for splice site selection and p220 binding, and that both the 3' stem-loop and the Sm site are important for Sm protein binding and cap methylation.
Source: Rfam by way of RNAcentral
AGUGGCCGGGGUCAAUAUAACACUUAAUUCUCUCGCCUUUUACUAGGGGUUUCCGUGUAUUGACCUCAUCCUGUAGCCAUACACCGUAUUUUUCAGAAUAAUGCUUCCUUCGGAAGU